RNAcentral lists this ribosomal RNA (397 nucleotides) under uncultured bacterium. Its description in RNAcentral is "partial 16S ribosomal RNA". It matches the Rfam family "Bacterial small subunit ribosomal RNA", at positions 523 to 918 of the family's 1533-position model. The record is from RNAcentral.
AUACGUAGGGGGCGAGCGUUGUCCGGAAUGAUUGGGCGUAAAGGGCGCGUAGGCGGCUUUGCAAGUCAGUAGUGGAAGUCCAUUUUUCAAGGAUGGAAGUGCUACAGAAACUGCGGAGCUUGAGUGCAGGAGAGGUUAUCGGAAUUCCCGGUGUAGCGGUGAAAUGCGUAGAGAUCGGGAGGAACACCAGUGGCGAAGGCGGGUAACUGGACUGCAACUGACGCUGAGGCGCGAAAGUGUGGGGAGCAAAUAGGAUUAGAUACCCUGGUAGUCCACACUGUAAACGAUGAAUGCUAGGUGUAGGAGGUAUCGACCCCUUCUGUGCCGCAGUAAACACAGUAAGCAUUCCGCCUGGGGAGUACGGUCGCAAGAUUAAAACUCAAAGGAAUUGACGGGG